GAUAAACGCUAGCGGCAGGCUUAACACAUGCAAGUCGAGGGGCAGCAUAGAUUGUAGCAAUACAAUUGGUGGCGACCGGCGCACGGGUGCGUAACGCGUAUGCAACCUACCCGUCACAGGGGGAUAAUCCGGAGAAAUCUGGUCUAAUACCCCAUAACAUAUGGAUCGGCAUCGGUUCAUGUUGAAAUUUUCGGAGGUGACGGAUGGGCAUGCGUAGCAUUAGCUUGUUGGUGAGGUAACGGCUCACCAAGGCGACGAUGCUUAGGGGGACUGAGAGGUUUUCCCCCCACACGGGUACUGGGACACGGACCAGACUCCUACGGGAGGCAGCAGGGAGGAAUAUUGGUCAAUGGGCGCAAGCUUGAACCAGCCAUGCCGCGUGCAGGAUGACGGCUCUAUGAGUUGUAAACUGCUUUUGUACGAGGGUAAAGUGGGUUACGUGUAACCUUUUGAAAGUAUCGUACGAAUAAGGAUCGGCUAACUCCGUGCCAGCCGCCGCAGUAA
Molecule: ribosomal RNA, 504 nt
Filed under: uncultured bacterium
Lineage: Bacteria
Description: partial 16S ribosomal RNA
Rfam family: Bacterial small subunit ribosomal RNA
Source: RNAcentral